Molecule: ribosomal RNA, 253 nt
Filed under: uncultured bacterium
Lineage: Bacteria
Description: partial 16S ribosomal RNA
Rfam family: Bacterial small subunit ribosomal RNA
Source: RNAcentral
UACGUAGGGUGCAAGCGUUGUCCGGAAUUAUUGGGCGUAAAGAGCUCGUAGGCGGUUCGUCGCGUCGGCUGUGAAAACCCGGAGCUCAACUCCGGGCCUGCAGUCGAUACGGGCGGACUGGAGUGUUGCAGGGGAGACUGGAAUUCCUGGUGUAGCGGCGAAAUGCGCAGAUAUCAGGAGGAACACCGGUGGCGAAGGCGGGUCUCUGGGCAACUACUGACGCUGAGGAGCGAAAGCGUGGGGAGCGAACGGG